This is a long non-coding RNA of Panicum virgatum (switchgrass), 1649 nucleotides long. RefSeq lists it as uncharacterized. The record is from RefSeq and is a predicted model, not a curated record. The transcript has 2 exons. Lineage: Eukaryota; Viridiplantae; Streptophyta; Magnoliopsida; Poales; Poaceae.
CUCCGCUCCGCCUAAUCGCCGCCUCGCUCCGCCUAGCUCCGCCUCGCGCCCAGACUGCCGCCUGCCCCCCUAGGCCAGGCGAUGGCCGUCGACUAGCGACUAAUCGCGCCUGGGCGCCGUCUAAUCGACGCCUAGCGGAACAGGGGCGAGCAGCCACAGGCGCGGCGCGGCUCGCUCGCCGUAGGGGAAAUGUUGGUCCAGUGAUAAAGCCCCCCUCUCCCCCACUCUAACACCUGGGUUUUAGGGUCGGAGUGGCUAGAGGGGGUGGUCUAAGUGAAAGGAUAGCGCUGGUUAAUUCCUGGAAUAAGUCUAGGAAAAUGUGAUCACCUGUGCCAAGUUGAGAAUUGAACCCAGGCAUUCAAAUUCGACCAAAAGAAGACCAGCCAAGCUACGCUCAUUUCGCAUAUGGAUAGAUCAAUUCCACUCACCACAUUUCACAUGUACACAUAUUCAAUGGUGUAAUCAUUUAGUCAUUUACAUUUUGAAUCUUCAUGGAGAAACCAACUUCAUACUAUAAACAUGCAAAAAUGGGAACGAACGUGAUAUAGAUGAGGCUGAGGUGGGCCUAUUCGGAAAGCAGAAGCAGAUGGCAAAAGAAUCAUGCGCCGAGGUCGUCCUAGAACCGGAGCUCUCCAAUGCCCUGGCUACCCGAGCUAGCCCUCCUGCCGUGCUCUCCAUCCACCGGGUUCCUAGCUGCCCUAGCUCAUCGGGGAUCUGAGCCGCGGUGUCAGAGCCCACUCUAGUGGCCACCCGAGCUUGCCCUCUAACCAUGCCUACCACAGCUCGCCCGCACCCUGGCUGCCCACGGCCAUGAUCGUGCGCCAAAGGAGAUGGAGAGAAGACAUUGUUCAAUUGGGUUCAGCUAGUUUCUUCGUUUUGUGCGGACGGGACUGACUCGGAUAUCAAGGGAAUGAACCCAACCCCUCUGGUUUUUAGAACCAAACGCCUCUAAAAUUGGGUCUGACCCAACCCAGUUAGAACCUAAAGUGAAAUACAUGCUUGGUUUCAUACCAAUGGAAUGCUGAAUGGUCAUCAUGUUGUAGCAACCAGAUAUUUCUUGACCUUACUGUUACACACUGAUGAUAUUAUCCAAUAUACAACACAAGAGCCUUUUUACCAUCCUUGGAAACACAAGUAAUAAUUAUAAGUUGGGGUGGUACCGAGAUUUAGUGGCACAGGUCACUACAAUGGGAGAUAAUGUAAUAUCAAAAGCUUACAUUAUACUAAUGGCCUGGAGUAUAUGGACAGUGAGGAAUGAUCAGAUCUCCAAUCACAUUUCUCCAACCUUGAGGCAGUAAAGGCCAAAUUCAUCUAUGAGUUUGCCAUGCUUAUGCACAGAGCAAAGCCCGUUGCUUUCCAGAUUUACCACCUGGCUAGAAUCAUUUAUGCAAUAUAGUCUUCUCAUCUCCUUUUCUUUUCUUUUCUUUUCUUUUGUUGUUUUUCACUUCUCUGUACUCUUCUUCUUUUAAUAUAUUAGUCAGCACUCAGCACGGGCUUGCCCCUUCUGUUGCUUCCAACAAAAAAGCGCUUAGAAUUAGGUAAAUAAUUUAUAUGCAGUGGAAAUCACCAAAGUUUAGUUAAUGGUGUAACAUGGUCUUGUUUGUGCUACAGAAAAAAAUUGUCCUCAUUGAGGAAAUAUUUAGAGGCUA